CCUACGGGCGGCUGCAGUCGAGAAUCAUUCACAAUGGGGGAAACCCUGAUGGUGCGACGCCGCGUGGGGGAAUGAAGGUCUUCGGAUUGUAAACCCCUGUCAUGUGGGAGCAAAUUAAAAAGAUAGUACCACAAGAGGAAGAGACGGCUAACUCUAUGCCAGCAGCCGCGGUAAUACAGAGGUCUCAAGCGUUGUUCGGAAUCACUGGGCGUAAGGCGUUCGUAGGCUGUUUCGUAAGUCGUGUGUGAAAGGCGCGGGCUCAACCCGCGGACGGCACAUGAUACUGCGAGACUAGAGUAAUGGAGGGGGAACCGGAAUUCUCGGUGUAGCAGUGAAAUGCGUAGAUAUCGAGAGGAACACUCGUGGCGAAGGCGGGUUCCUGGACAUUAACUGACGCUGAGGCACGAAGGCCAGGGGAGCGAAAGGGAUUAGAUACCCGAGUAGUC
Molecule: ribosomal RNA, 446 nt
Filed under: uncultured bacterium
Lineage: Bacteria
Description: partial 16S ribosomal RNA
Rfam family: Bacterial small subunit ribosomal RNA
Source: RNAcentral